This 259-nucleotide long non-coding RNA is filed under the name Homo sapiens (human). RNAcentral's name for it is "HSALNT0029210". The record is from RNAcentral. Lineage: Eukaryota; Metazoa; Chordata; Mammalia; Primates; Hominidae.
CUUAACCCUGCAUUCCUCCUCCUCAUGCCUAGCUGACCUUCACCUAGACCUGCUGUCCAGUGCUUUUCAGCCACACUUAUCUGAUAGCAUGAACUGGCUGGAGGACAGCCUCUUCGUCCCUCAUUGAUUCUCAUCCCAAUAUGGUAGCACCAGAGUCUUCAACCUCAGAUCAAAGAGACAACCUGAUGACUUUUCAUUUCAGUGAAAGCCACAUCACAAAUUUCUGGAUAAUUUAAUUUUUCUAGUGGCCUGCCAUUUG